AAGAAUGGUUGAGCCGUUAGAGAAAAUGGACAAGAAGACCUAACUAUAUACAGACAAACAAAACCUGGAGAGAUUUCAUAUAUUUUUUGUGAAAAUGACGAUGAAAAUGAUGGCCGUCAUGAACGUAGUCAGGUCGUAAGAAGAGCGUGGUGAGGACGGCAAGGGCGUGCUAGAAUCGUACUAUGGUCGUGAACAGCGUGGUAUAGUCGUAGUGGAAGCGUAGUUUGGUCGCGGUGAGAACGUGAUGGUCGUAUGAGGUCGUGAUAACGUCGCUGUGAGAUCGUAGCGCAGUCUGUCCGAAUAUAAUCACACUUUCGCUACGCUCUCGCUACGAUGUUACAGCGA
Molecule: long non-coding RNA, 345 nt
Filed under: Mytilus galloprovincialis (Mediterranean mussel)
Lineage: Eukaryota; Metazoa; Mollusca; Bivalvia; Mytilida; Mytilidae
Source: RNAcentral